This 484-nucleotide ribosomal RNA is filed under the name uncultured bacterium. RNAcentral's name for it is "partial 16S ribosomal RNA". It matches the Rfam family "Bacterial small subunit ribosomal RNA", at positions 30 to 507 of the family's 1533-position model. The record is from RNAcentral.
AUUGAACGCUAGCGGGAUGCUUUACACAUGCCAGUCGAACGGCAGCGCGGACUUCGGUCUGGCGGCGAGUGGCGAACGGGUGAGUAAUGUAUCGGAACGUGCCCAGUAGCGGGGGAUAACUACGCGAAAGCGUAGCUAAUACCGUAUACGCCCUACGGGGGAAAGCAGGGGAUCGUAAGACCUUGCACUAUUGGAGCGGCCGAUAUCGGAUUAGCUAGUUGGUGAGGUAACGGCUCACCAAGGCGACGAUCCGUAGCUGGUUUGAGAGGACGACCAGCCACACUGGGACUGAGACACGGCCCAGACUCCUACGGGAGGCAGCAGUGGGGAAUUUUGGACAAUGGGGGCAACCCUGAUCCAGCCAUCCCGCGUGUGCGAUGAAGGCCUUCGGGUUGUAAAGCACUUUUGGCAGGAAAGAAACGUCGCGGGCUAAUACCCCGUGGAACUGACGGUACCUGCAGAAUAAGCACCGGCUAACUACGUG